This 2040-nucleotide long non-coding RNA is filed under the name Pocillopora damicornis (cauliflower coral). RNAcentral describes it as "uncharacterized LOC113673910, transcript variant X6". Lineage: Eukaryota; Metazoa; Cnidaria; Anthozoa; Scleractinia; Pocilloporidae. The record is from RNAcentral.
AUUAUUCAAGCUAAUCUUUGUCAUAGCUGGGUUUGAACAAUUGGAGAAAAACAAUAAUUGUGAUGUUAAUCCUCGCCACUCUUUGCAAACAAGAAAAGAGCUACUCAGACAAGUGGUUUACUUUGGAAAUUGCACCAGAUUUUGAAAGACUCCUAACAACAAUACGAAAAGACUCCUUUGAUUAACACACCAUGAUGUUUGCUCUUCUUACCUGGCUGGUUUCCAAAGAAAGGAAUAUCAUCUGUGUAUCUCCCUGAUGAUGACGGCGUACAGUUUCCAUUGCUUUCCAAUUCUUCCUUUGCAUUUUGCAACACAUUGACAAGAUCCUGUUGAUCCUCUGGGUGAAUGUAGCCAAACAUGCUGCUUCCUGUCAGUUCAACCUGAAGAAGGAAAGGGAAAAGAUGCACACUUUUAAGUGUGUCUGUCAGACACCAACCUGUGACAGUCCAAGAUGAACAGACACAGUCUCUGAAACAUAGAGGACUUUUGCAUCGCUGGAAAGAACAAACAGGAAUCCAUCCAAUGCCUAAUGAAGAAUAAAACAUGAUAAGCACAGACAAGGAAAUCUACCAAUGAAGAAAUUGAUGAAGAAAAAAAAAAGGAAUAUUCUUUGAAGAUACAAGAGGUACUAGCAACAGCUGGUGGAGAAGAAAUGGAGGAGGGUGGAGAUGGACUCUCUGUAUGAAGUUCUAGAAGGAAAAAAUAUAACACAAACAACCUGUGCAACAAUCACUGCUUGUAGAGAAUAAAUCAAAAUAACUUGGCCUUGGGAUAUCAAACAAAUUAAAGCAAGGAGAUGACAGUGUGUAGAAACAGAUGCUUCUCAGAGGAGCUGACCGCGUGGAAUUGACUCGAUCCAUCUAAAACUGAUCAUUAAACAAUGACUACCUCUUGAUACCAAGAAGCUAUGAAAACUCAAUUCUGAGGUUAAGGAAAAAAAGGAUAACUAUCAUUGGUAGAGAAAUCUGUUUUGGUUUGCCUCGCCUUGCCUUGGAUUACUGUGCACAAACUCAAUCUUCAGUGUCACCUAGAAACAAUGUUCCCUGUCUUUGUUCAGUAAAGUUAGAUGUUAUAUGUUACUUAUUAACAACAACAGUUGUUUGCCUCACAGGGAAAUUAGCAGCUGAAGCGCAAAUGGAUAAUCCUUUGAGGCUUUUGCUAUGGUUUCCUUCAAGGAAUAUUUGUGGAAGUGACUGUCCCAUGUUUCUUAGACAAGAGUCUUGAGACUUCAAGUCACAAGAACACUGCUUUGCUCAUACUUCCCAGUAAAUUUAAGAAAACAGAAACAAUACAGCUUGGUUUUCUGAUGUGUUCAAAAUUAUUAUAUUUGUAUCACUUUCUGUUCAGUUAACAUGAAACUAGGGUUUCAAUAACUUUUUUCAUAUGCGACUGCCUAUGGUGUAAUAUACUGCUGUGCCAUAAGGCAAAACCCAAUUACAAAAGCCAACUUGCAAGUAAAGAGACGGCGGAGAGAUCUUGUGGGCGGCGGCACACCACAGAUAACCAGCUUUUAUUGAAAUCAUUGUUGAUACCAUAAACACCAUUUUUUAUGCAUGAUUCUGCUAUGUAGAUACACAAUAUAAAAUGUAGUAAACCUUGAGGAAGCAAUACAUGUUAGCUGGCGAAUUUACAGAUAAACAAGAGGAAAUAUCAAUUUCUUUCAAUUGUAAAAAUUUUUUAUGUUAUUAUGAUAUAAGUAUGGUUGAUAUCAAGCAAGAUACAUUGUGACAUCUUUAAUUUUAUUUGUCAUGCAGACAAAACUCUUUGCGUGCUGCUUGUGUGAAAACCUGGUGGAGAUUACAAAUCUUCUAAUUUCCCGCCUAUUAAAGGAGGCUUACACAGACAAGCGACUUUGUCUGAAAGAUAUGCAUAUUACUUAACUGUCUGAAAGUGCUGCCAUAAAACUUGAAGAUACUGUUAGGCAAAACCAAGAAGCUUUUCAUGAUGGAAGGGAAUAAUUUUUUCCUCUAUGAUGCAAAAAACACCCCAUGAUUCUGUCACAACAGGAUGUAACACUGUAAAAAUGAGAAUCUAGACGCA